ACGAACGCUGGCGGCGUGCUUAACACAUGCAAGUCGAACGGAAAGGCCCUGCUUUUGUGGGGUGCUCGAGUGGCGAACGGGUGAGUAACACGUGAGUAACCUGCCCUUGACUUUGGGAUAACUUCAGGAAACUGGGGCUAAUACCGGAUAGGAGCUCCUGCUGCAUGGUGGGGGUUGGAAAGUUUCGGCGGUUGGGGAUGGACUCGCGGCUUAUCAGCUUGUUGGUGGGGUAGUGGCUUACCAAGGCUUUGACGGGUAGCCGGCCUGAGAGGGUGACCGGCCACAUUGGGACUGAGAUACGGCCCAGACUCCUACGGGAGGCAGCAGUGGGGAAUAUUGCACAAUGGGCGGAAGCCUGAUGCAGCAACGCCGCGUGCGGGAUGACGGCCUUCGGGUUGUAAACCGCUUUCGCAUGUGACGAAGCGUGAGUGACGGUAAUGGGUAAAGAAGCACCGGCUAACUACGUG
This 467-nucleotide ribosomal RNA is filed under the name uncultured bacterium. RNAcentral's name for it is "partial 16S ribosomal RNA". It matches the Rfam family "Bacterial small subunit ribosomal RNA", at positions 29 to 507 of the family's 1533-position model. The record is from RNAcentral.